RNAcentral lists this ribosomal RNA (800 nucleotides) under Pseudomonas ficuserectae. RNAcentral's name for it is "bacterial SSU rRNA". It matches the Rfam family "Bacterial small subunit ribosomal RNA", at positions 79 to 891 of the family's 1533-position model. Lineage: Bacteria; Pseudomonadati; Pseudomonadota; Gammaproteobacteria; Pseudomonadales; Pseudomonadaceae. The record is from RNAcentral.
UUGUACCUGGUGGCGAGCGGCGGACGGGUGAGUAAUGCCUAGGAAUCUGCCUGGUAGUGGGGGAUAACGCUCGGAAACGGACGCUAAUACCGCAUACGUCCUACGGGAGAAAGCAGGGGACCUUCGGGCCUUGCGCUAUCAGAUGAGCCUAGGUCGGAUUAGCUAGUUGGUGAGGUAAUGGCUCACCAAGGCGACGAUCCGUAACUGGUCUGAGAGGAUGAUCAGUCACACUGGAACUGAGACACGGUCCAGACUCCUACGGGAGGCAGCAGUGGGGAAUAUUGGACAAUGGGCGAAAGCCUGAUCCAGCCAUGCCGCGUGUGUGAAGAAGGUCUUCGGAUUGUAAAGCACUUUAAGUUGGGAGGAAGGGCAGUUACCUAAUACGUAAUUGUUUUGACGUUACCGACAGAAUAAGCACCGGCUAACUCUGUGCCAGCAGCCGCGGUAAUACAUAGGGUGCAAGCGUUAAUCGGAAUUACUGGGCGUAAAGCGCGCGUAGGUGGUUCGUUAAGUUGGAUGUGAAAUCCCCGGGCUCAACCUGGGAACUGCAUUCAAAACUGACGAGCUAGAGUAUGGUAGAGGGUGGUGGAAUUUCCUGUGUAGCGGUGAAUGCGUAGAUAUAGGAAGGAAACCAGUGGCGAGGCGACACCUGGACUGAUACUGACACUGAGGUGCGAAACGUGGGGAGCAACAGGAUUAGAUACCCUGGUAGUCACGCCGUAACGAUGUCACUAGCCGUUGGGACCUUGAGCUCUUAUGGCGCACUAACGCAUUAGUUGACGCCUGGGAGUCGGCCGCAA